GAAGUUUUCAGAGAUGAGAAUGUGCCUUCGGGAACCGUGAGACAGGUGCUGCAUGGCUGUCGUCAGCUCGUGUUGUGAAAUGUUGGGUUAAGUCCCGCAACGAGCGCAACCCUUAUCCUUUGUUGCCAGCGGUCCGGCCGGGAACUCAAAGGAGACUGCCAGUGAUAAACUGGAGGAAGGUGGGGAUGACGUCAAGUCAUCAUGGCCCUUACGACCAGGGCUACACACGUGCUACAAUGGCGCAUACAAAGAGAAGCGACCUCGCGAGAGCAAGCGGACCUCAUAAAGUGCGUCGUAGUCCGGAUUGGAGUCUGCAACUCGACUCCAUGAAGUCGGAAUCGCUAGUAAUCGUGGAUCAGAAUGCCACGGUGAAUACGUUCCCGGGCCUUGUACACACCGCCCGUCACACCAUGGGAGUGGGUUGCAAAAGAAGUAGGUAGCUUAACCUUCGGGAGGG
Molecule: ribosomal RNA, 457 nt
Filed under: Escherichia coli
Lineage: Bacteria; Pseudomonadati; Pseudomonadota; Gammaproteobacteria; Enterobacterales; Enterobacteriaceae
Description: bacterial SSU rRNA
Rfam family: Bacterial small subunit ribosomal RNA
Source: RNAcentral